ACCAGGACUAAUCUCUUGGCAGUAGCGGAGAGCGUCGACCAUAUCUCUGGGAGAGGGGGGCUCUAAGGGGCGGGUCACACCCACUCACCACGAGCCAGGGUGGCGUCACUGCUGCGGCGUCGCCAUAGAGACCGCCACAGCGACACUGCCGUGGUGACAUCAUAUCCGCGUCCUACGAUUCUAGGCCGUCAUCACGUCCUUUUACGUCAAUCGCAGCUAUUCUUCAGGAGGGCAGGAACUCACUCUGUUUUCCCAGAUAAGCAUCAGAGAGCUGGGAGAGAGGUUCUAUCUGGGACGCAGCAUUCCCAAAUCCAGGAAACAGCGAGCACCAUCCCGUCCUGUCUCUUCCUGAGCAGAAGGGCCAGCCUUGUGUUUUCCCACGCCAGUAGUCCCUGUCAACCACAUUUAGUGGAACAUUAGCCACAGCAUUGUUUUCUUGCCCCCCUCUUUCUCUUUCUGUCUCUCUCUCACUCUUCAUCUCUGUCCUCACUCACUUUCUCUGCCUAUGUCUCUCUAGUCUUAUCUCUUUCAUUCUGUUGUCCUCUCUUUGUCCAUCCACCUCUCCUCCUAUCUCCAUAUCGCUCUUUCAUUUGAAGAGCACUUCAGCAUCCCCCAAGCUCUUCACAGAGGAAGUAUGGUUGGAGAGAGAAGCGAGAGAUGAAGAAUAAAGAAAAAGAAGUCUCUCCGUUCCUAAUGGGAAUGACAGACAGACGCUGUGGAGAGAAAGACAGAAAGAACCGGGACACUGGAGCACCCCACAAACAUCACCCCCUGACCCCCU
Molecule: long non-coding RNA, 781 nt
Filed under: Salmo salar (Atlantic salmon)
Lineage: Eukaryota; Metazoa; Chordata; Actinopteri; Salmoniformes; Salmonidae
Description: lncRNA (ENSSSAG00000106142.1)
Source: RNAcentral